GACGAACGCUGGCGGCGUGCCUAAUACAUGCAAGUCGAGCGGACGAAUCGAAAGCUUGCUUUUGAUUCGUUAGCGGCGGACGGGUGAGUCACACGUGGGCAACCUGCCCUGUAGACGGGGAUAACACCGAGAAAUCGGUGCUAAUACCGGAUAACACGAAAUGUCGCAUGACGUUUCGUUGAAAGACGGCGCAAGCUGCCGCUACAGGAUGGGCCCGCGGCGCAUUAGCUAGUUGGUGAGGUAACGGCUCCCCAAGGCGAGGAUACGUAGCCGACCUGAGAGGGUGAUCGGCCACACUGGGACUGAGACACGGCCCAGACUCCUACGGGAGGCAGCAGUAGGGAAUCUUCCGCAAUGGACGAAAGGCUGACGGAGCAACGCCGCGUGAGCGAAGAAGGCCUUCGGGUCGUAAAGCUCUGUUGUUAGGGAAGAACAAGUAACGCAGUAACUGGCGUUACCGUGACGGUACCUAACGAGAAAGCCACGGCUAACUACGUG
RNAcentral lists this ribosomal RNA (498 nucleotides) under uncultured bacterium. RNAcentral describes it as "partial 16S ribosomal RNA". It matches the Rfam family "Bacterial small subunit ribosomal RNA", at positions 28 to 507 of the family's 1533-position model. The record is from RNAcentral.